GCCGGACUUCCCUCUCCUCCGUUUGAAAUGCUCAGAGAUCCGUUCUCCUCCCUGCUCUGUGUAGCGAAAGCUCGACAAAUCCCGUCAAUGGCGGUCGCUGCUCUUUCCCGCUCUCUGGACUUCUCCCACCAUCGCCUCCCUCGGUUCGCUCUCUCUAGACUUAUACCCUACUCAUCAUCUCGCUUCAACUUCCUUGCCAGCCAUUUUCCUACUCAUCCCGCCAUCACCGUCCCCCUCUCCGGUACCUCCUCCGUAGCUAUAACCGCUCCCAGUAAGAGCAAAGGCUUCGUUUGGCUGAGACGCCUUAGCACCGCAAACCCCGGCGAUGACCCGAAACCCAAACGUAGAAACACCAAAGUCAACUUCUCUCUCUCCGACUCUGACUCAGACGCGGAGGAUGACGGCAGCGAGAAGGCGGAGGAGACCAAGCUUCCGCCACCCUAUGAUCCGUUCAACAAGAAGCCAGUCGUCGAGGAGCCCGAGGACCCAAAGAACCUGCAGGAGAUCUUCCACAAGAUGAGGACCGAGGGACUGACGAACCAUGCGGUCAAGAUGUUCGACGCAUUGUCCAAGGACGGCCGGACCCACGAGGCGCUGGAGCUGUUCGCCCAGAUCAAGGACCGGGGCCACAUGCCCGAUGUGGUCGCCCACACUGCUGUCAUCGAGGCGUAUGCCAAUGCGGGUGGGCAGAGCAAAGAUGCGCUCAAGGUGUUCAUGCGGAUGCUGGCAUCCGGCGUCAAACCGAAUGCCUACACGUACGCCGUGCUGAUUAGGGGGCUGGCGGGAGAUGGGAAGCUGGGGGAGGUGAAGAAGUACGUGAUGGAGAUGAUAGGGAAGGAGAUCAUGCCGAACCCAGGGACAUGCGUGUCGCUGUUUGAGGCCUUUGUUCGGGAAGGGCAGGAAGAGGAAGGUAGAGAGUUGUUGGAGGAGAUGAAGAGGAAAGGAUUUGUGCCGGAAGAGAAGGGUGUCAGGGAAGUGCUUAGAAGCAUGCGGGGCCCUGUGGUUCGAAGUGUUAUGGACAUUCUCUUUGGUAAAUAGCGCGACUGAUUGUGAAAUCCGAGGAGCAUACGAACUUGAAUGGCCAAUUUUGGAACAUCAAUGAUUCAAAGUCCUUUGAGGUAUUUCUGAUCAGAAACAUACGCAAGUUCUCCUGGUUGGUCAUGGAAUUAGUUCAGCUGAUCUGGAACCAUUGCUUUAAGUUGAUCCGACAGCCAUCGGAGUGGAAGUGUAGUCACCGAGAAUUGAAAACAGAAACUUCCAGCCAGUAAAUGGAAGUUCGUUAAUAUUGAAAAGGUACUUAAACAGAGCUUGAAGAAGCCUCCAAUGAUGAUUGUCCCGUAUUAAAAUUCGACUGGGGAACUGUCAAAACUGGAAAGAAAACACGGGACGGGACAUCUAAUAGGUUGUGAAGGAGCACUGGAGCAGCCCUUCUCCCGAAGGAGGGGAAACAACUGAUGAUCCUUGGAAAACUUGCACGAGGCAGUUCUAGCAGGCGGUACUCUGUCAUCAGACCAACCCCAUGCCCGACGCAGAGCCGCUAUAGCUAAUGCAGCCAUCUGUUCUUCAGUGUCCAAAAACUCUCGGUCUAUCGAGUUUGAGAUCACCACUUUUGGGGGCUUUUUAGAUGCUCUAUGCCCUGAUCUUCCACAAAAGAAACACGAUCCCCUGAAAGCUCCUGCAGCAAACGAAGGUAGUCUUUUCACAUUACUGUAAGAUACACGGAUUCAACAGAUGAAUGGAGAGAGAAUCUUACCUCUCGCGGGACGAGGACCUGUCGGAGGUCGUACCUCGUAUUAGCCAACCCUCACAGCUGCUGCUCGAUAGCUUAGAGCAGUUAUUCUUGGUUCUGUAACUUCGACUAUGUCUCCAUCAUCUUCCGAGUCAUGCCAGCUUCCCCAGCCUCGUGUUAGUUGACUGAACCUUCUCUGGCCUUUGAAGCCAUUGCAAGAAUCCCACUCUCUGAAAGUGAACCCUCCAUAGAAAUCACUCGGGGCCCGUCAUCUUGCAAACCACGCAGCUGCAGUUACAAAGAGCUCGAUUUAUUCGAUUGAGUUGCCAGAUACAACUUAAACCUGCUGGACUUGAAUUAGUCGAAUUGCUAACCUUGGUGACUUUCGAAAUGGUACUUUGUGGCGGCAUUUCUCGACUCA
Molecule: non-coding RNA, 2150 nt
Organism: Punica granatum (pomegranate)
Lineage: Eukaryota; Viridiplantae; Streptophyta; Magnoliopsida; Myrtales; Lythraceae
Source: RefSeq, a predicted model, not a curated record